UUCUUUUCAAAACAAUACAUUGUAUCUGAACGAAAGCAUUGAUAAUUUAAUUGAUUUCCAAAAGAGGUUACUUGAAAGAAAAUCGGAUCUCGGUUCUUCAGGCCGUCCUUUGGGUUGGCAAAAGUAUUCAUGAUGAUUUUUUUGCUUGAAACUGAGUUCAAAAACAUAGAUGAGGUUAAUAAAAUCGAACAGGAAAAGAAUUUGAUUGUGCUUGGUACAGUCAUAAGUUUCCCUCCUGGUGUUGAGUGGUAUUACAAUUAUUGUAAAGAUUGUAUGAAGAAGGUUACUGUUUUGUAUUUUAUAAGUGAUGGUGAUGAUGGAUUAGAUUUAAGUGAGGACAAACAGACCAUUUGAUGCAUAAAUGAUGUUUGCAAUGAAAUAGGUGUUUCUGUGGUUCCCAGGUUGAAACUUCAAAUUAGGAUACAAGAUGGUACCGGUAUUGCAUCUCUAACUUUGUUAGACCAUGUAGCUCGAAAAUUACUUGGAAAGAGUGCUCAAGAGUUGGUUGAUAAGUUUGUUGAUGGUGGAAUGGAUAAUUUGCUCCCUGAUGAAAUUAGUAAUUUGGUUGGCAAAAAGAUGGCGUUUAAGAUUGAGAUUUCUCACUUUAACGUGAAGAAUAACUACAAGUCAUUCACUGUCAAAAGAUUUUCUGAUGAUCCCGCAAUAAUUUCUCAGCUUGAAUCAAAGUUAGGGAUUGACCAUGUUGACCUUUCAAACUCGGUGAAUAUCACAUUUGAUGAUUUUGAAAGUACUGAAACUGUCGAUCUGAAGGAUGAUAUCCCGAUAUCACUGAUUGGUUCAAGCAAUGGAUCAAUAUCUGCUGCUGCAAAAAGUACUGAAACAUAAGGCUACAUUCUGAGCUGAAGCGUAAUCUUGUGGACUCAUAUGAUCAUGACGAAUCAGCAACAAAAGCUCCUUUAGCU
This is a long non-coding RNA of Helianthus annuus (common sunflower), 923 nucleotides long. RefSeq lists it as uncharacterized. NCBI's taxonomy places the organism in Eukaryota, Viridiplantae, Streptophyta, Magnoliopsida, Asterales, Asteraceae. The transcript has 6 exons. The record is from RefSeq and is a predicted model, not a curated record.